GUGCUCACUGUGCCAGCAUGUAUACUAAAAUUGGAGUGAUACAGAGAUUAGCAUGGCCCGUGCACAAGGAUGACAUGCAAAUGCAUGAAGUGGUCCAUUUCUUU
Molecule: small nuclear RNA, 104 nt
Organism: Homo sapiens (human)
Lineage: Eukaryota; Metazoa; Chordata; Mammalia; Primates; Hominidae
Source: Ensembl